This 95-nucleotide ribosomal RNA is filed under the name uncultured bacterium. Its description in RNAcentral is "partial 16S ribosomal RNA". It matches the Rfam family "Bacterial small subunit ribosomal RNA", at positions 1388 to 1482 of the family's 1533-position model. The record is from RNAcentral.
CACCGCCCGUCACACCAUGGGAGUUGGUUCUGCCUUAAGCCGUAUCGCUAACCGCAAGGAUGCAUACGACCACGGCAGGGUCAGUGACUGGGGUG